Corapipo altera (White-ruffed manakin) is the source of this 1073-nucleotide long non-coding RNA. RefSeq lists it as uncharacterized. Lineage: Eukaryota; Metazoa; Chordata; Aves; Passeriformes; Pipridae. The transcript has 4 exons. The record is from RefSeq and is a predicted model, not a curated record.
GCCGCGGCGGUGCCGCGAGGCGGCGCUGCGGGAGCCCAGCUGGGCCCGGCCCGCUCCCUCCGUGGGUUUUCCUCUUUGCUAUGACGGUGCUGAGAGGUGCGUUCGGGAGUUGCUCUCAUCUCCCCACACUGUGCUGCUGCUGCUAAAACGCUGCGCACCGGGAGAACAGAAAAACCAUCGCAGGGAAACAAACGAGCUUCUGUAUCCAGGAGUCCCUUGCACGGGCAAAAGGUUCAAGGAUGCCUGAGCAAAACCCAGGACAGCCCUAGAGCUCCCUCAGUUCAUUGCUGCCUGAGCAUCCUCAGCGCCUUCCAGGCGCUUGAAUCCAAAUCUUCGGGACCAAUCCUGCAUUCAUAAAGCAUCGAGCUGAAGCUUUGAUGGCAAGGUGGAACACCUUCGGACAAAGAGAAGCACAGCCAGCCUCUGAAAAGCAGACCCUUUUGGAUAAAUUGACCUGGAUAAAACAACAAGGACAAGAUAGCAUUCAACUAAGUGUGCUGAAAGAGCAAAUAUGAAAUUUCUGAGCUACCAAAGCAGAACUUACACCAGCCACCACCUCAAGGAACAAAGUCAGAUAUAUUGAAUUAUGACAGAAGAAUUCUCCAGAAGUCCACUGAGGACACUCACAGAACACUGCCAGAUGAUCGAACAUCCAAGACAGGGAGGAGUGAGAAGAGCCUUUUCACCCAGUCCCAUCUAUGCCUCUGAAGGUCUGAAGUUCUAUUGAACUCGCCCAGUCCUUAACUUGUGGAAGUUAGGGAAGAUGUGAUUCUAUUAGACUCUCCUUUUUCCUCCUAUGCUGAACACCCUACAAGGUUGCAACAGGACCACAGACAGGCCUUGACCACACAUUGAAGGGCACAGUAUGAAAGGCAGCUGCCAGAGUUGGAAGAAUCAAUGUCAGCUCUUUCUCUUUGCCAAAAAGACUAUUGAUUCUCUAUACUUACUCCUGUAACUUGGCUGACAGAUUCGUAGGACAACAAGAAUCUCAGCUAAGAACAGUGCUGCUUCAGCCAGUUGUUCUUAAUAACACUGCCAAGAAAAGAAGAUUUAUAGACAGGAGUUGAACACAA